GACGUAGGAUGCAAGCGUUGUCCGGAUUCAUUGGGCGUAAAGAGUUCGUAGGGGGUUUGUUAAGUUUGGUGUGAAAUCUCCCGGCUCAACUGGGAGGGUGCGCCGAAUACUGAAUGACUAGAGUGCGGGAGAGGUGAGUGGAAUUCCUGGUGUAGCGGUGAAAUGCGUAGAUAUCAGGAGGAACACCGGUGGUGUAGACGGCUCACUGGACCGUAACUGACGCUGAAACACGAAAGCGUGGGUAGCAAACAGG
RNAcentral lists this ribosomal RNA (253 nucleotides) under uncultured bacterium. RNAcentral describes it as "partial 16S ribosomal RNA". It matches the Rfam family "Bacterial small subunit ribosomal RNA", at positions 524 to 776 of the family's 1533-position model. The record is from RNAcentral.